Malus domestica (apple) is the source of this 2701-nucleotide non-coding RNA. The record is from RefSeq and is a predicted model, not a curated record. NCBI's taxonomy places the organism in Eukaryota, Viridiplantae, Streptophyta, Magnoliopsida, Rosales, Rosaceae.
UGUUCGAUCAUAUACAUAUAUAUAACGUUUUUCAUUAGACUUUGUUGUUCCUCAUCACCUGCCAAUACCCUCUACAGAUAUGGAUCCGCCGCCACCAAGCACGCCGCUCCUAGCCACCGCUCCUCCUCCCUAUCACCAACCAGGAUGCUUGGAAUUCUGCUUGUGGAUUCUAUGCUGCUGCGGUAUAUUUAAAUGCUGCUGCCCUCCACUGUUUGAGCCUGGGCCGCCUCCACCAUAGUGCUACAUUUUCUUAUGACCCUACUUUGUACGAAAUUAUGAACUGUUUUUUGUAAUUGGUAGACUGAAUGUUUGCUAGAUCUAAACUAUUCCAAUGUGGCUUUAGCUGUUCAUGAAUCUCUUUUUUUUUUUUUUUAGUUUUAUCUCUCUACUAAUUUGUAACUAAUAAAUUUUACCAUUUUUACCGUGUUCCGUUUCUUUUUAAUCACAAAAAAUAAGCACUAUACUCGUUUGUGACAAUGGCUCAGAUACCACAAAAAAUGAACUAGACUCGGAUACCACAAAAAAUAACCAUUGUCACAACAAUUAUCACUUUUGUGACAAUGGGUUUUUUUUUUUUUUUUUUUGUCAAACAAUAAAUUGUAUUAGAUUAGAUGUUAUAUUAGUCAUCAGCGGAGUUUGAAACCACGCCGUCACGUAAGAGCUCAACAUAUUUCCACCACUGUGUAAAUGGUCACUUGCCUUUUGUGACAAUAGUUUGGAUACCACAAAAAAAAUGGAGUUUAGUUCAUCACAAAACAUACCUUGUGAACUCAUUUGAUUAAAUCAAUCCUCUAUGAUCCUUGAUAAAACAUACACUUUGUACAUUCAAACCUCUUUGGGGAUCGAAUUAGAGGGUCUAAUUUUCUAAGAAUAUUCGUGUAGAUUGUCAUCCUACUUAAAAAUGUAAGUUAUAAUAAAUAAAAUUAAUCGUUUUCAUUGACCGAAUGAUUUUGGUAUUGAAUAUCAACAGCCAACACCGCCUACAACCUUGGUUGCCUAAGUUUUCAAAACAGAAUUUAUUUUCGGAAGCCAAAACGAUUGUUCGACAAUUAGGUGCUAAGUUGGACUAAUUUAGAAUAUACUAAGCAGAAAUGACUUAGUGAAGCAUUUGGUGCAGUAUUAGAUAAGGAAGCAGGGUAGGUAAUAAAAAUAGUAUUAUCCUCAAUUUUUGGUGUUUGCUCAAAGAAGAACUAAAUUAUUGUUCUAUUUUAAUUUCUUUUCUAUUAAAAAUAUUUUCAAAAUUAGUAUUAUUGAUUUCAGCAUAAUAAAUACCCCCAUUCAAUACUCAAUCGACACUGCCAUACGAGUAAGCUCAGUCGCAGGGAGAAAUCCUGAUCUCCAAUUUUGAAAAUUUGGAAAAGUAACCAUAUUUUAGAUCCUAUAUAGAAUUAUAGCCACAAUUUUAGUUUUAUGAUAAUUUUAACCAAAACUUGAUGUAAAAGUACUAAUAUACCCUUAAUAUUAGGGUUUCUCACAACAAAAAUAAAACCUUCUUCAAACUCUCUUGCAACCUUCUAGUUUCUCACCUUAAACCAGAAAAGCACUCUUUGCCGAUUUUGCAUAAUUAAGCAGUAGGGAUGUUUUGACCAAAAAAAAAGGCGCAGGACGCAAUAGCCUUUUCAAAUUGUCCAAGAAACAAUGAUAUGGUUGGUCAAUUGUAGCUUCCAAUUCCUAAAUCAACUUUUUGAUAUUUCAUAUCAUGGUUUUAGUCAAAACUUUAAUGAUUUUCAUGUUCCAAUGCAGGUGAAUAUAUUAUGAAUCCUUCGACAAAUCAACAAGUUGAUUGAAGAAUUAGAAGCUCCAAUAAAGCAACCAUAUCAGUGUUUCUUUGGCACUUUGCAUAUGCAGAAUAUGACUCAAUUUGUGACCGUGGUCCAUUACGGAUGGAGGAGGGUUGAUAGCCAAUACAUAUUUGGUCAAGCGAAAGCAAUGGAUAUUUGACUUCCUCUUAAGCAAAACAUGACCAAACGGACGAAUUUUGGAGUUAUUCAAAUUGGAAGACGUUUGUGUGUCUCUUGGUUUAGUAGUUGAGCUUUCAUAUCAACGAGGAUUCUUGACAAGUCUUGGUGUAUAUGAUUACCUUCAAUGGUACUUAAAAAUCCUAUCAAGAAAUUGGCGUCGUCGUCGGGGAUUGUUUUUAAACAAUUUGUGUUAAUCAUAAUUCUUUGUUAAUUAUUGUUGUAAAUAAAAUUUUAAAAAAAUUAUUUAUAUUAAUUUAAUUUUCAUUUUCUUUGCGCAGAGCCCAUAAUCUAGACAGAUCAUGUACAUGGUUUGCACCAGAUCCCAAAAUCAAUAGCUAAUAGAAUUUGAUCCAAAGCCGGAACGCACUUUACAACAAAGGUGCAGGGAGCAAUUUUUAGCGUGUGAACCUUCAUCGGAGGACACUUUCCUAAAAAAUUUGUUUUCUGGGAUUUUGGACAGUAAGGAUACCAUGGCUUUUGCCAUACUAGCUGCUAGGCGUCCAUUGAGGGAUACAUUAGCAGCCCAUGCUAAUGAAUUACCAAGUUGCAUUGUUUAUCCAGAAGAGGAAGACGACACACUCGAGAUCAGACAUCACAUGUUGGAGAUUCUGCCUACUUUUCAUGGUUUAACUCAUGAGGAUCCUAAUAUGCAUAUCACAAAGUUUUUAAUGGGGUGCAGAAAUAUUAUAGUGAAUGAGUUUACUGCAGAGUCAAUCCAACUCCAUCUUUUCCCUUAUUCA